UUAGAAGGAGGGGUCAAAAGAGAGACACAAAAGAUUCCCACCUUGUGCCAAAGCUAUAUAAGGGGGUGGAACAGAACAAAGGAGGCUGCAGGCAUGAGAAAUCCCCUACCUACCUCCUGAGUUGGAACAAGGACUGUGCCGGGGAAAGGACUGGACCCAGACUAGGAAGGAGUCUAGUCUGUGAAAGAAGCUUAUUGGAACAUCUCUGAGGAUCGCUCAUCUGCAGCUGUGCUGGUCUGUAAACCAAGUGGCUGUGCCUCAGAAAAACUCAAGGCAAAAAUCGUGCCCUCUCUUGCAUUGGUGAGCUACGACUGAAGACAACCGGUGGCCUUCCUGGGGUAUCUGUAGUGAGCCCAGUGCUCCCUUGUUACCAUGAGUCACGUCCUGCAAGAUGCCAUAACAACACUAAUCUAUACUGCUACAAUCAGAGGAUUAAGACAGCCAAGAAAGGAAUAAACAGCAGGAGCAGAUGAAGUGCCACAGGGAAGGGCAGUGUGAUUAUUUGCAUGCCAAUGGCGAUGGCUCUCCUUUCAUUUACAAUGGAGUAAAUCUGAAGUAAUUUCCCCACGUCAAUGGGGUUUCACUGCUGAGAGGAGCACCAGGCCUUUAGAAGGAACAUCAGCUGAGGAGAGCUGUUACAGAGAAGACCCUGAGCGCUGACGGACCAAGUAAGAUGACCUUUCUCCAGCAUGACAGUUCAAAUAUGCACAAUUAGCCAUGGAUAGUUUCCCCGAAGUGCUGUAUGGCGCACAAGAGGCUGAGCAGAACUGAGGAGGAAUUCUACAAAACAACAGGACACGUGCUAAUCAUCUCUCUCCAGCUGGUAAAUGAUGUUUAAAAGAAAACUGAGACGGGAGGCCUCAGGCUGGAUGCUCUAGUCAAUCCCGGUGACCUGAGAAUUAAGUGUGAUCCUAGAUUGUUCCGUGCCCAGCAUGUAAUUACAUGUCAUCUGCCUGAGCUAAGACUUGGAUUUUCGCAGGUUGCUGGUCUCCUACCUUGCUCCACGGCCAUUCAGUCUUUGACCUUAUUGCUGAGGAUAACAGGGCUGGCAAUUUUUGACUGGUUUGGUGAUUUGGGCACCUAUCCUGGGUGCUGGAGCCAGUUCACUCACUCAUUUCAUUUCAUGUAAACUAAACAGCCACUGGGUGGCAAACGGCAGCUGUUUCCAAUCGGUGGUUUUACCAAUGAGCUAAAGUUGAAGGGCUUUAUAUCCCAUUCCCCUGAGCUACACGGCCCUUUCUGUCAAAAAUCAUACUCUGAAAGGAGUCAAGUCAUCUAGUGAUGCAGCAUUCGCCUGCAAGACAUAAAUAUUUCAGCUUCACAACUAUAAGUGCCGAGCAAAACUCAAGCUCCAUUUCAUAUGACUGUGUUUCCCUGACAGAUCUAUCAGCCAA
Molecule: long non-coding RNA, 1394 nt
Organism: Mauremys reevesii (Reeves's turtle)
Lineage: Eukaryota; Metazoa; Chordata; Testudines; Geoemydidae
Exons: 5
Source: RefSeq, a predicted model, not a curated record